RNAcentral lists this ribosomal RNA (1007 nucleotides) under Leuconostoc mesenteroides. RNAcentral's name for it is "bacterial SSU rRNA". It matches the Rfam family "Bacterial small subunit ribosomal RNA", at positions 51 to 1037 of the family's 1533-position model. The record is from RNAcentral. Lineage: Bacteria; Bacillati; Bacillota; Bacilli; Lactobacillales; Lactobacillaceae.
CUAUAAUGCAAGUCGAACGCACAGCGAAAGGUGCUUGCACCUUUCAAGUGAGUGGCGAACGGGUGAGUAACACGUGGACAACCUGCCUCAAGGCUGGGGAUAACAUUUGGAAACAGAUGCUAAUACCGAAUAAAACUUAGUGUCGCAUGACACAAAGUUAAAAGGCGCUUCGGCGUCACCUAGAGAUGGAUCCGCGGUGCAUUAGUUAGUUGGUGGGGUAAAGGCCUACCAAGACAAUGAUGCAUAGCCGAGUUGAGAGACUGAUCGGCCACAUUGGGACUGAGACACGGCCCAAACUCCUACGGGAGGCUGCAGUAGGGAAUCUUCCACAAUGGGCGAAAGCCUGAUGGAGCAACGCCGCGUGUGUGAUGAAGGCUUUCGGGUCGUAAAGCACUGUUGUAUGGGAAGAACAGCUAGAAUAGGAAAUGAUUUUAGUUUGACGGUACCAUACCAGAAAGGGACGGCUAAAUACGUGCCAGCAGCCGCGGUAAUACGUAUGUCCCGAGCGUUAUCCGGAUUUAUUGGGCGUAAAGCGAGCGCAGACGGUUUAUUAAGUCUGAUGUGAAAGCCCGGAGCUCAACUCCGGAAUGGCAUUGGAAACUGGUUAACUUGAGUGCAGUAGAGGUAAGUGGAACUCCAUGUGUAGCGGUGGAAUGCGUAGAUAUAUGGAAGAACACCAGUGGCGAAGGCGGCUUACUGGACUGCAACUGACGUUGAGGCUCGAAAGUGUGGGUAGCAAACAGGAUUAGAUACCCUGGUAGUCCACACCGUAAACGAUGAACACUAGGUGUUAGGAGGUUUCCGCCUCUUAGUGCCGAAGCUAACGCAUUAAGUGUUCCGCCUGGGGAGUACGACCGCAAGGUUGAAACUCAAAGGAAUUGACGGGGACCCGCACAAGCGGUGGAGCAUGUGGUUUAAUUCGAAGCAACGCGAAGAACCUUACCAGGUCUUGACAUCCUUUGAAGCUUUUAGAGAUAGAAGUGUUCUCUUCGGAGACAAAGUGACAG